UGUGAAUUGCAGAAUCCCGUGAACCAUCGAGUCUUUGAACGCAAGUUGCGCCCGAAGCCUUCGGGCCGAGGGCACGCCUGCCUGGGCGUCACGC
Molecule: ribosomal RNA, 94 nt
Filed under: Justicia valida
Lineage: Eukaryota; Viridiplantae; Streptophyta; Magnoliopsida; Lamiales; Acanthaceae
Description: partial 5.8S ribosomal RNA
Rfam family: 5.8S ribosomal RNA
About the family: 5.8S ribosomal RNA (5.8S rRNA) is a component of the large subunit of the eukaryotic ribosome.
Source: RNAcentral